This 597-nucleotide ribosomal RNA is filed under the name Triticum aestivum (bread wheat). Its description in RNAcentral is "partial small subunit ribosomal RNA". Lineage: Eukaryota; Viridiplantae; Streptophyta; Magnoliopsida; Poales; Poaceae. The record is from RNAcentral.
AUGCAUGAUCAGGUCGGCCUGGACCUGGACGGCUUCCCACUCGACUAUGAGUUUUCGGAGGACUACAUACAAGAGGAAGAGGAUGAGUUGGACAUCAAAGAGGAGCCUUUAUUCGAUGACGAGUUCGCCAACCAAGCAGCCGGGAGGAAGCCGAAGCGCAAGAGCAGGUGGACCAAGGCGUACACGGCGACCGAGGACAAGCUUCUUUGUGAAUGUUGGAGGGACAUUGGGUAAGACCCUAAGACCAGCGCCGAAUAAAAGGCAUCAACCUUUUGGACUCGUGCCCAUCGUGAGUUCCAUGAGCGCAAGAAGUUUUCACCGUACCAAAUGCAAAGCAUGCACGGAUGGGUGUCCAUUUUGAAGUGUUGGAAAGUGAUCCAACAAGAGUGUAACAAGUUUUAUGCCACUCUUGAGAGCAUCAAGGCACGCCCCGUGAGCGGAAUUGGCAUGCAAGACAUGGUAUGCUAGCAAGCGGCCCUCUUUUCUGUCAUUCCAUUUAUACUUGCAUGUCCAUUUCCAUAUCCAUUUGCCAAUAUGCUUGCAUGCAAUUCAUUUGUAGGCAUUUCAAGCUUUGGAGGCAUUCAAGGUCCAACAUGA